UGGAACCAGCCGAACUGCAAUGAGCAUCACUGCAGCAGCAAAAGGCAGUGAAGAGAGGAGCCUUAUUCUUUCCAGUACACACACACACGCACACGCACACGCACGCACUCACGCCCUGAAUGCUUGCUUUUCUUUUUCACAAACCAGAACCUAAUGUUUUUCAUGUCUUACACAGGGGGCUAAGGGAAUGUAUUCUAGCGAAUUAUACCUGAAAUACUGCAAGAUUUGAAAAUUUUCUACAGAAAGUGUAUUCUGAUUAAAAACAAACCUCAAUACAUAUCUGUUUAUCCCCCUUCCAUGUGUAUCCGCUUAGGGUUUAUUCCUCCCUUUUCUGACUUCCCCACCCUCAAAAAGGUAAGCAUAAUGCCAGGCAAAAGCUAAGAUUGGGCUCUUUUAACCCGUAAUCGCUGUCGUCUCUACACUUUGUUUAUGAAACGGAAUAAGAAUGGAGAGAGACUUAAUUUAACAGCACAACCAGGCUGUAUAAAUACAAUAUUCAUUUUUUAAAAGCGAAGUGGAUUUGGUUUACUCUGAAGAACAGUAAUUCAAACAGCACCUAUCUGCUCCAGAUAGAGUAGCUAUGCACAUCUAUACAGGCAAGUUUGAAAUUUAGAACAAGGCUUUGAUUUAUUCCCUUUCUAUCAGUGAUUAAUGCCCCUUAAUUAGCUAAUCUCAAAGCCAUUAUUUACAACUAGGGCAGACAAAGGGAAAACUGAUGAUCCAACACUUAUGUCAGUUUGAAAUUUUGAAACAACAAAAAGUGCUUUAUUCAGAGUGGAAUUCUGAGUCUCUUAGAUGAAUCUCAAAAUAACAAAGAAACUCAAAGAAAAAAAUAAAACAAAAAUAAAACAAAAUAAAUGGGAACAAAUAAAACUCCAUCUCCCAAACAAUCCCAACCGCCACUCCUUUUUCGCAGAAAUUGCUGCCUGGCACAAUUUGAAAUGUGGCUAUUUAAAGGGAAAAGGAAUAUAUCUUCUCUUCAUUCCAUCUAAAAUCUAUAAGUUUUCAAUUUUAGCAUAAGAGGAGAAAGCGUUUAUAGCUGAGUUUUUCCAAGUUGCUUAAAAGGAAAGGGCUUUGGGAUUUGAAAAAUCAGUUUUCUCUUUGUACUUUUCCAAGGCGGGGAUUUGAAGCUGGGCACUAGAUUUGCUUCUCAAGAUCCGGUGCCUUAAACGUUGGGGAAGGGGCUGCGGGGGAGUGUGGGGAGAGGAGGUUUGUAAGGCGCCCUUUAACGCGGACCUGGCCUAGGGUCCUGAGGAAUUCCUCUUUGAACUCUGCUCCCUAAAGCACCGCCCUCGCAGCAGCUCAAAUUCAAGUGACCCUAAAAACUCGUUUCUGGACAGAACUGCAGGUCUUCGGGGUCUUUCUUGGUAGGAAACCAUUCAGACCGGGUAUCCUGGUGGCUGUCGGGGGGUUCUUGAAGGUUCCAGGGAGUCUCCUCAGGAAAAGGAGAGCGCAGGCCUUGGUUGCCUGAUGUUGCAGAGGAGCCUCAGGCAGUCGCUAGAAGUUCCAAUCCAAUCGUGAGCUUUCCUCUGGGAGGGACAGGAUCCCCUUCAACUCCUGAGGCUGCUCCUCUGGGCGAAUCCCACAGUAAUUGCGCAUUUCUCUCCCUUUAGUGCUUUGGAAAUUUAGAAAGCGCGCUUUCAUUUGUACAUCGCCUGCCGACAGCCCCUUUGCUGAUUAGAGAAGCCUUGUUCCCCCUCUCCACGCGUACGCACACUCAUUUUUAGUUUUAACAAAUGAUUUAAAAAUCAAAACAAACCUCUGAGUCAGUCCGCCCAAUUUUAUGCUCCAUCUCCUCUGUGUAUGUGUUAGAUUCUCUCUGCCAAUCGAUGGGAAAGAGCAUUUAGGGGCAUUUGCAAUUUCCUUUGUCACUUGCCACUCUGUGCGUAUAGAUUUUACAUAUCAUUUGUUUACCAAAUCAGUUCGUAUUUUCUUAGCCCAGGGUUCAGGAUUUUGCGUUUGUGGAUUAAUUGCCCAGUACCCAAAGGGCAGGACAGUCAGAGGAGCCACCUGAUGCAAGAAGGAUCAGCUCACGUUAGGACAAAACAAGGAGGUUGUUGUGAGCCCUUCUGCGGGCUCUGAAUUAACUCAAACAGCCCUUCCUAGGACUUGUUAAAAAGACCGUACCUUGAAGGGAUAGUGUGGUGCCUAAUGUCUGCUAGCCUAUAACUCAAUGCAUUACAAGGUCAUUUUUGCCCAGCCCAAAGAAACUGAGUAAAUCCAAUGUCCCUGGUUGAAGAUAAUACGUAGUCACUUCAUUUCUGGCCAUAUGGUGCCUACCUGCAUUCUAGUCUUGAACAGUCUCAGGUUCCUUACUGGGUCUCACUUAUUGAUUUUUUUACUAGAUUACAUCAUAAUUUAAUAUGGCUGAGUGAUGUGGAGCUUGUGGAUGAUCCUUUUAUUGCCCUGAUUAAAAUCCACACAGUAAGAAAUUUUUUAAACGGAGGUUGAUGAUGGAAGCUUCCUCAAUAAGUAUCCUUCAGUCAAGAAAUGAUUGAGCUUUAAAUUAUAAGAAUCUCAAAAUUACUGUGCAAGUGUUUGGCAAUCAAUUUCAGGUUUUCAUGACAACAGGAGCCUAGGCCAUAGGAUGGCAAACUAAAUUCAAUGAUCACUUGUCUGCUUCUGCAGAUAAUCUUAAAGGAAGCUUCAUUACAAUUCACCCAUCAAACAACUGGCAUCUCAAAAUGCAUCAAGAGCUUUGUCUAUGUAAGCAGACAGCACAUUCUAUGGCAUUUGAAUUUUAUAAAAAUAACUAGUUAAAAGAUAUAUUUUGAGGUCAGGCUUAAUUUUUGUUUGGACCAAUUUGCCUUAUCAUUUAUAAAGGUAUCCUUAGAUGUAUGUCGUUACACCAAGCUUUCAGCUGUCUCUAAGGACACAUUAAGGUGAGGUGGUGCUGCUGUCUAAGAUUCUAAGGACAGCAUUCAUGGGUAAACAACAGACAAGUCCUGUGCCCUUACCAUUACUUCAGAGCACAGCAGUUCCACUGGAUUCAAGGUGGCUUCUUCCUACUCUUGUCUUCAUUAUUGAACAUAAUUUGAUCUUAUUUAAGAUGAUAAUAAGUUCCCUGACAGUCAGAGCAUGCUGGUCAGAGCAAUGUCUCUUUCUUGUGAAUGAAAGGACAAUUAAUAGGAAACUCUGUUGGUCUUCUAUAUCGUCUUUGUUAGGAUGUGGGCAGAGUGAGUCAAUAAAUAGAAUUUGAAAUAAGCAACACAUAUUUGCCCUCCAAAUCUUAAGCUAUAAUUCAAUAUCUAAUGGAUUUGAGGAAAGAAAAAAGAGGUACCUGGUCUUCUGAGCUGAUAGAGGGUUAGAUUAUAACCUGAUUGAAGGACUGGCAAAAAGAGUAAUAGACACAAUUGAUGGUGUAUUUUCAUUCAACCACCAGCUAGGCAGAAGAGAUGUGGACCAAGGAAAUUCCACCUCAACUUUCUUUAUUCUGAUUCCAUGUUCACCAAGAAACUUUCUGAUUAUAAUUGAAAUUGCUGUUUAUAUCUGCUAAGUAAUGGGAAUGUAUUUAGGUCUCUGAGAUCUUUUUUGUGUAUAUAUAUAUAUAUAUAUAUAUAUAUAUAUAUAUAUACACACACACACACACACACAUAUAUACAUACAUGUAAACACACAAAACGUUUUAAUCAAUGGAUUCUGGUCUUAAUCACUGUGGUUAAAGUGAUUUUGCUCUGAGAGACAGUUUGCUAAGAAGUCAGGUUUCCGGCUAGGUGUGGUGGCUCACACCUGUAAUCCCAACACUUUGGGAGACUGAGGCUGGUGGAUCACCUGAGGUCAGGAGUUCAAGACCAGCCUGCCCAACAUGGUGAAACCCCAUCUCUACUAAAAAUACAAAAAGUUAGCCAGGCGUGGUGGCAGGCGCCUGUAAUCCCAGCUACUUGGGAGACUGAGGCAGGAGAAUCGUUUGAACCCGCGAGGCGGAGGUUGCAUUGAGCCGAGAUCCCACCAUUGCACUCCAGCCUGGGUGACAAGAGCGAAACUCCAUCUCAAAAUAAAUAAAUAAAUAAAUAAAUAAAUAAAUAAAUAAAUAAAUAAAUAAAAUAAAAGUCAGGUUUCCAAGCCUGUGAGAUCUAGAAUUAGGCAUGGCAGACUAUGAGGAGCUUUCCCAGAAAGAUACCCAACCAACGUUUCAGGAAUGGCCAAUUACAUCUUCCUAGUAGAAAUACCACCUUAUUGGCCAUCUGCCCAUACUUCAACAGACAGCAACUUUGCCACUGUAUUUUCAGUCCUUAAACUUAGAAGUGUUUGAGAAUUAUUAUUAUUUUUUAGACAGAGUUCAGCUCUUUUGCCCAGGCUGGAGCACAGUGGUGGGAUCUCGGCUCACUGCAAACUCCACCUUCCGGUUUCAAGUGAUUCUCCUGCCUCACCCUCCUGAGUAGCUGGGAUUACAGGCGCCCGCCACCGCACCCAGCUAAUUUUUGUAUUUUUAGUUUAGUUUAGUUUAGUUUGAUUUAGUGACAGGGUUUCACCUUGUUGACCAGGCUGUUCUUGAAUUUCUGAGCUCAGGCAAUCCGCCCACUUCGGCCUCCCAAAGUGCUGGGAUUACAGGAGUCAGCCAUCGUGCCCUGCUGUUCUCUAAACGAACAAAUCAAAACCUCACAAACGUCCCCAGCUUUUAUCAAAAAUUAACUUAUCUAAACUACUGUUGAAAUUAAUUAUAGCUUUGGUCUUCACCAAAUCUUGGGUUUAUUGUUUGAUACCUAUCACCGUAAAAUAUCAGGUUCUUUAACAUUUAAUGUAAUUUAAUCGGGUGUUCUCUAGGUGCUGAAUUCUGCCUUUUAGUGAGUACAGAAGUUUUAUUAUUUUAUUAUCUUUGUUUGUAAUUCUGUUAACCCUUUUCUUUCCUCAGAAAAAAGUACUACCAAAUUUAUUUAUCUGCUGUCCCCACAGAAAACUCUUCAUCUCCUGAUUAUAAAAGUUGUUUAUCACUUUUAUGUUAGUAUUUUUCUUGUGUGGCAGACCACAUUACAUCUCCUACUUCAAAGAUGAAUGUACCUGAAUUUUGUAAAAAUUUAAUACCUACCUUUAGGAUUGUUGCAGGAUUAAAUUAGAUAACCCAUGUAAAGGAUUUAGCCAAUGACUGGCACUUAGUACGUAAAAAUGUAUUAAUUGUUGCAAGUUUUAGCAGAGAUGUCCCCUGGCUGAAAGUUUUAAGGGAUGGACUAUAUUGACACCUGUUUCCUUUGCCUGUGCCUAAUUGCUUGGAAUUCUUCCUUCUUAAUCACAUAUUUAGAAUUAUUUUUCCCUAAAAACAUUUCAUUAAAGUUGUUUAUGUUCAGGGAUUUAACAUAAAUGUAGAGAUUGUUGCUUUUGCUGUGUAACUCUUUUUACAAAUUAUUUUAAACAAAGUUAAAAUAAGGUAUAAUUCAUCAUUGAUCUUUUGGUGACCUCAUUUUUUUGCAUGUCUCUGCUCACAGAUAUUUUUACUAACCCCUUCCAUUUCUUUGAAUCCUGGAGUUAGAAAACAGCCCUGAAGAUCAAAGAAUUGUAGAUCAUUGAAUUUUCAACUAUAAAUGAAUUUAGAUAUAGUGGGUUUCUAGAACCUAAGCCAAUUCUUUAUUCAUCUGUGGUAACUAAGCUAUUUUCUCUUUAAAUACUUUUACAAAAGUCCCUUUAAAAGUAUACCUGAAUUAUAUCUCCUAAUUUCCUCUACUUCACAGGGUUUUUCAGUCCUCUUAAAAAUGCUUUCCUGUUAGUAAGUAAUAAUUUCUUCUUAUAUAUUGCAUACUGGCUCUUCUCUAUUAUCUGAUGCUUCCUUUAAAAAAACAGAUCCUUUGCAUUUAAAUACAUUUCCUCUAAUUGCUAUGAAUUGAAGUGAAACAUCCUAGUUAUCUCUAGAUAAUUGUUUAUAGAUAGAUUUGUUUUUGCAACCCAUCAGAACUACAGUCCAGUGAGGAUUUGUAUAAGAACUUAUACAUCAUCAUUUAAAAUAUCUCAAUUUCGCAUUUAAGUGUUACAAACAAUAUUUGAAUGACUAUUAUUUGGACAAAUUAUAUCUGGACAAAUUAUCCAGAUGAUUUGUUUAUGACCUACCUGUUAAAUAAGUCUUGAAUACCCUGCACUGCUGUAACUGUGAUAACUUUAACCCCUUCCCAUGUCUUCAAUGAAUUUCAGAGCAAAGAAGUUCUUAGUUUUAUCAUUAUUGAUUUUUCCACCUUGAGUAUAAUUUUUACAGAUUAGUCAAUGUACGUAAAAUGAUUUUAAAAGAGCCAUAAAUCAAAAAUCUGAGUAUUUGGGCUGGCUCUAUCAUCAUAAUUUACUGUGUGAUUAUAAUAAACCCCCCAAGUUGUUUCUCCUUAUUUAUUCAUUUGUUAAACGAGGAUAAUACUUCUUUUUACUAUAAAGGUUUUGUGAUGUGUGUGUGGGUGUGUUAGCCAGUUCAGGCUGCUAUAACAAAAAUAUGAUAGACGGGUGGCUUAAACAUAGAAAUUUAUUUCUUACAAUGCUGGGUGCUGGGAAGUCCAAAAUAAAGGUGUGGGCAGAUCUGGUUUCUGGUGAGGCCCACUUUCUGAUUUGCGGAGGGCCAUCUUUUCCUUGUAUCCUCACAGGAUGAAGAGCAGCAAGAGAAAGCAAGCUUUCUUGUGGGCUUCUAUAAAGGCAGUAAUCUCAUUCAGAGAGAUCCAUUCUCAUGACCUAAUUACCUCCUAAAGGCCCUGCCUCCUAAUACCAUCACAUGAGAGGUUAGAAUUUUAACAUAACAAUUUUGGGGGGACACACACAUGGCUCUGUGUGUGUGUGUGUGUGUGCACGUGUGCAUGUGAGAGGCUGAAGUUAGACCCUGUAAUUUAUACAUCCAAGGGAAAAGAAGAAAAAUAUUUUAACUGCCUUUCCUGGGCAUGCCUUGUUUGGGGCAUGCUACAUCUAUUAUUCCAUUUUAUAGUAUCAUCACUCACGUUCAUGAAGAAUAUUAUUAGGAAAACUAUCCAAUUCGAAUUUGUAGUUCACUACUUUUUUCUCUAUCUAAUUCUAUGUUUGCCAAUCAGGUUUUGCCAAUCAAAUUCCAAUAUCUUGAUUCUGUUCUUUUCCAUAAUAGCCUGUUCUUGGUUUAGGGAUGUGAUAGCCUCUCUGAUCUCUUGUAGGAUGUCAAUUACAUAUAGAUUUUGAAGUCCCCAUCUGCUCUAGAGACUUUGUUUCUACAGAUGAUAAUACUCCUGACUUUAGAAUUGGGAACCUUGCCUUUAAGGUUUUGGCUUUGCUAAAAUGUUUGUUAUUUUUUGGCUAUGUUCUUGCCUUUGUUCUUGAGUGUUUCUAUUUCUGUAUGGACAUAUCUUGUCUUUACUGGCUGUAAGGAAGGUUAAGGAUUUGUGGGAGGGUAGACUGUGUAAGUAGCUCAUUUUCUGAGCUCACAAUAUUCUGGUUUUGUCUGGGUAUCACCUGUCAAUAGGAUGCAACGUCGUGUUUCCAACCCAAGCAUCAACAGGCACUGGUGACAAAUAUUUCUGCUGUCCUGUCUUGCCACAAAGACAAUAGGAAGACUCCUUUCCCCAAAUCGUUUGCCUGAAUCUUGCUUCUCUUGUUUCUGAAACUGGAGCAGACCUGAAACUGCUUUCAAUAUUUGCAACAGUUUUAAGCUGUGCUUCUCUGGACUGCUUACCCACUUGGUUCUCAAAUGCCCCAGGUGCCACAGCAAAUUCACACGGUACCAUGGGAUAUUUAAGCAAUACAAGAGAAACAGUGGUAUUCACCAUCUGUCAGACACUGCAGGAACUACCAGUGAAACAAUCAACUCACAGUUUCAACAUUAGAUCAUGCUACAUUCCUUUGGAUGAUACCAUAUUUUUGUGAAGCUGAUAUUUUAGAGGUUGCUGUGAUUAAAAAAAGUAUCAUGUGAAAGUCAAUUUGAAACAAGAAAUAAGGAUGACAAUGUCAACUUCCAAGAUUCGAAAAGAUGUGUACACAUCCUACUAGUAAAUAUUUGUGGUUAUUUAAGAAUGAAUAUUUUUCUUUCAAUCAUAUGUAUUACCUUUUUAAGUGGCUACGAAGCUUUUAAGACACAAAUACUUAUUAAGUUGUUUGUAUCUAAUUACUUAAUAAAUGGAACUGUUAGGUAUUUCUUUUAGCCCCAAGGCAUGAUUUAAAAAAUUACUAAGACACUAAGGGUGGUAUAAACAAACAGGGUUUGGGAACCUCUGGCUUUAACCUUUUUCACUGAGGUUUCCCAACCAAGUGCUCU
Molecule: long non-coding RNA, 8176 nt
Filed under: Homo sapiens (human)
Lineage: Eukaryota; Metazoa; Chordata; Mammalia; Primates; Hominidae
Description: non-protein coding lnc-PARP8-2:2
Source: RNAcentral